GAAGGAUUAUAUACCUCAUUUCAAAGGUUUUGAAAUGAUCCGGGCUUUGAUUCAAGAUGCACAAAGUCACCUAAGAAUAUGAAAAGCUGGAAGAUUCUCACAAUUCCGUAUAGUGAAUCACUCUUUCCCUUAGACUCUACCUUGGAAACUCCAUGACGGUAGAUAACACCUUUGUCAAACUUAUAUAUCUGUUUUAUACAUUGAUAUUGUUGCUUGGUAUUAGUCGAGAGGCAGCACAGCAAAGUGUAUGUGAAGAGAAAGGGGAUAAAAAGGCACUCUGGAUGUGAUGAUUUCAAAACAACUAUCAGUUGUGCCUAAGGUUGCAGACUCAGAACUUUAUCAUUAAGCAGAAAAAGCAUCGUGAAGAGAGGGUCAUUCUUCCUUAUCAUCACUAGCAACAGCUGCUGACCAAGUACCACCAACAGAUAGGCACUGGAGCGGUGGUAAUAUCCAUCCCCCCCCCCCCAUCAUUCUUGCUUUCAGUCCAGCCCCCAAAGCAACCAUGUAAGAAAGCAGCUUAUUGAUAAGGGGCCAGGCAUCCCCACCAACUGUCACGAACAGGGCAGGGACUGUAAACCAUCCUAACUGAAGCAGCAAGGCACCCUGAAGGAGAAAAAUAAGGCAGCCUGUACCCAGGCAAGUCAAAAUGCUACCUUGAUUGUCAUUUAUCCUCAAAACCUGAUGGAAAUAUCCCAGGGCUCUGAAUCCAAAAGCCCAGAUCCCUCAGCUGUCACCCAGGAAGGAAACCCUGAAGAUGCCACUGAGACUGCUCCUGCUGGGGCUAUAAGACACAACAACUGAAGAUCUAGAAAGGAAAAAUCUUGUCAUCAAAGUCCUUGGUACUGUCAAAUGGUUCAACCUCAAGAAACGGAUGUGAUUUUAUCACCGAAAAUCCCAUUAAAGGAAAGACACUUGCUGGACACCUUAUACAUAGAAGCUCUUGAGCUAGAUGCUAGGAAUAAUCCAGAGACUGAUUUCCCUGUGGAAGAUGUCAUGGAGAUGCCCUUGGAGACUGCACACUGCUCCAGGAGUUACUGAGCAAAACUGAAUGUGCUAAACUGAACUUUGGGGGGGUUCAAUACAUUUGUUUAUAUGUACUUUGUUGUACCAAAGGGGACUGCCCCCUAAUUAGUUUUGUUCUUGAUUCCCUUUUGUUUCCUUAGCCCCAAGCUGAUGUAUUUUCCCUGUGUAAAUUUGUAUGUACCUCAAUUAUGUUUAAAAUGAUCCAUUGGGGAAACUGGUCUCCCAAAGGAUCACAGGGAAAAAUGUGAAGAUGGAAAAUUUUCAACACCUGAGCUAUAUUCCCAACAUCCUUUUAAGUUACAUCCUCAUUUUAUGUAAGAAUGCUUAGGAGAUAAAUUUGGCUGAGACUUAUGCUGCGGGGCUCUUUUUUUGGAGCUUGUGCUUUUGAGAAAGUGCUGCAGGUGUGAGUCUCUGUCUCUCUUUGCUCUGCUCACUUGACUGAAAGAACCUUUUUUAUUUUCCCUCUCUUUUGAUUAUUAUUAAAAAUCCUACAAUGCUAAUAAACAUCUGCUUUUGAGUUCCCUUUGGAUCUAU
Molecule: long non-coding RNA, 1557 nt
Organism: Monodelphis domestica (gray short-tailed opossum)
Lineage: Eukaryota; Metazoa; Chordata; Mammalia; Didelphimorphia; Didelphidae
Source: Ensembl